GAUGAAGAACGCAGUGAAAUGCGAUAAUUAAUGUGAAUUGCAGAAUUCAGUGAAUCAUCGAGUCUUUGAACGCACAUUGCGCCCCCUGGUAUUCCGGGGGGCAUGCGUGUCCGAGCGUCAUUGCUGCCCUCAAGCACGGCUUGUGUGUUGGGCUUCCGUCCCUGGCAACGGGGACGGGCCCAAAAGGCAGUGGCGGCACCAUGUCUGGUCCUCGAGCGUAUGGGGCUUUGUCACCCGCUCCCGUAGGUCCAGCUGGCAGCUAGCCUCGCAACCAAUCUUUUUAACCAGGUUGACCUCGGAUCAGGUAGGGAUACCCGCUGAACUUAAGCAUAUCAAUAAGCGGAGGA
This 347-nucleotide unclassified non-coding RNA is filed under the name soil metagenome. RNAcentral describes it as "partial contains 5.8S ribosomal RNA, internal transcribed spacer 2, and large subunit ribosomal RNA". The stretch from base 1 to 120 matches the Rfam family "5.8S ribosomal RNA", at positions 35 to 154 of the family's 154-position model. The record is from RNAcentral.